Small nuclear RNA from Ochotona curzoniae (black-lipped pika), 109 nucleotides. The record is from RefSeq and is a predicted model, not a curated record. NCBI's taxonomy places the organism in Eukaryota, Metazoa, Chordata, Mammalia, Lagomorpha, Ochotonidae.
CAAGAAAGGCUCCAUCAUGAAGAUCCCAGGUUGCAACAACACAGAGAAGAUCAGCAUGAUCCCUACGCAAGGCAGUGAAGUGCAAAUUCAUGACAUGCUCCAUAAAAUU